Molecule: RNA transcript, 2625 nt
Organism: Salvia splendens (bonfire salvia)
Lineage: Eukaryota; Viridiplantae; Streptophyta; Magnoliopsida; Lamiales; Lamiaceae
Exons: 3
Source: RefSeq, a predicted model, not a curated record
AGACGCACACACAGUCGUCGGCUGCUGCCCAUCCCUUUCCUCUUCAUGCCAUUCCAGAGCAGGCAAUUUGCUAAAUAUCUCAUUUUUAUUUGCUGCCCCCCUCUCUCCAUAUUCUAAUCGCUUCAUCUCUCUCUUUCUCCUUGGUCAUGGUAAAAGGAAUGGAGCUUCUUGGUAGAAAUUCAUAGAGAGUUGCGUGCAUCUUCCAUUCAAACAUGACUAUGUGUAAGUGGAUAUUCGAAAAUGGGAGGGUGAAGACUAUGGUAUAAUCUCAAACUUCGUAGUAGAGUGUUGCAUCGAGACAUGGCUGACCUAAAUGGGGAGACGACCGUUGCAAAUGCAUCUCCGGAAUGCAAGAAAAACAAAGAUUGUGGUGCUCGUGAUUAUGAGGGUGGUUCCAACAAUGUGGGGGCCUUGAAGAGGCUGUUUUCACCGUCAAGAUUGUCGGGUGGACAAGGCUUUGAAUCAGGGGAUAGUGAGAGCCGACAGGGAUCGACACUGGCCUCUGAGAAUAGCUCAAAAUGCCACGAGGCUGAUAUGCAAUCGUCGUCUGUUGGUGUUGGUUCUACGCAGGUGAAGAGUGAGAUUAGCACGGAGACACUUUUGACCCCUGGGAGUGGGAGUCUUGAAAUGGAUAUGACGAAGAAGAAGCACAGGGAUCAUGUGGUUGGUGGUGAAGACGGGUUAAGUACGAAUACGGUUGAGUCUUCAUGUUCGAACUCUUUACCUGUUGUGGUUCCGGUUUCCUUUUCCUACCAAAGCUAUCAGGAGACAUCGAAGGAUGCUUACUUGUUUAGGAACUGUGGGAGCUCAAUGGAUAGUUCGAACUCUAAGGCCUUUGAUCGCAGCCCCGAAGAGCCAGUGACUGCCAGUUCUGAGUCGGGAAUAUCUGCUCAAAUCGCGAGCAAAGCUAGAAGUAGUACGAAGAUUUUUUCGUUGGGUGGGAAUCAUUCUUCAUCGAUGAUUAAUAAACGAGAGAGCGAGACUUGUCAUAGCUGGGAUCUUGAGGCAGAAGUUCCGAAAGAGAGCGAUGAUGUGAAAUGCGGCUCUAGAGAAACAACGGCGAAGCAUGGAAUGUCAGGGGAAGGCGAGAGCGUAGUGGCAACGAAAGGGAAGACGGGCUCUGAGGUGAUGGACAAGUACAAUGAUGAGAUUCGGGUGAACGAAUCUGCAGAUUCCUCAAUAGCAAAACAGGGUAAGAAACCCGUGAAAGGUAAGGAUGACAAAGCUAUUGCUGGAUUUGAUCUCAACAUAGACUUGAACGCGAGUGAGCUAAACAACUGUGAUCAGCCGGCUUUGCCUUUUGUGUCGCCUCACAGUGUAAUACACGUCGUAGCAAAACCCGGAAUACCAAGUGGUAGACGGCCUAUGAUGCCAUUGAAAUUCGAAGGGGGCCUAGGCUGGAAGGGUACUGCCCAAACGAGUGCUUUUCGUUCCACAAAUAACAAGCCAAAAGACCUCCAGGGUUUCACCGGAAUCGACCUCAAUGUUGCCAUUGAAGAUGAUAAUAUUUCUGCUUAUGGGACUCCAACGGUUCGUGCUUCGACUUUGCAAGACUCUCAUCCAGAAGCUGACAGGAAGCAAGCCAAGAGCCCCUGGAUCGAUCUCAACUGCGUCGACAAUGCAGCUGAAGAGUUUCCUCAGCCUUCAAUCCAACCUAUAUUGGAAAGCUCUCCGUUGGUAGACUUGAACUUGGACACGGGGAGGUCCAACAACGGCCAUUGGCUCGGCCAAGCUAGCCACUUCCCAAAUCCAGGAUCGCGUGAUUUCAGUUUCAACAGGAACGUUUAUUUGGCUGAUUUGAAUACCAUACAGCAUAUGGCCAACAACGGCCAUACACUAAUGGCUUCACCGCAGUUUCUCCAGCGUAUGGAGCUCGUUCCACAACAUACCCUACCAUCCAUCGUCAACCAGUCCAGAUAUUUCCACGAACAUGGCUCAUUGUACAACACCCCUCAUCCGGGCCAAUUUGUUCACGAGCAGAUCAGUAGUAGCAAGAACGCAGCCAAACUCGAGCCUAAGACAGAAGACCUCUUGUCAGCAAGCGGGAGCAAGAGCGACAGGCCCCGGUAUUUCCCCUUUCUUUCUAAAGAAUCCCCGAUGGAUGAAAGUUCACUGAAUCAAGAAGCCUGGCACCCGGCCUCCUUGAAACGGAAGGAGCCCGAGGGAGGGCUCGACUGCUUCCACCUCGGCUACAAACAGCUAAUCUGAUUCGUUCUUACACGACUAAUCAAGUAUGCAUGGGGAUUCAGCCAUCAAGAACCUUGUUCAGCUAUGUUUAGAAAUCUGUCAAACAAAUGGAGUGCACGGUUGAAACUGCAAUAUUUCUUCUUCUUAGACAUUUCUUCAAACAGAUGGGGCGCGUUGUUUAAACUCCAUUAAACGUGUCGCACCUGCAAAUAUUCAUUGAUUUCGACCAUUCAAAGCAAGAGCAACAACGAAAUUUUAAGCCUAUGUUUUUAUCGAGUGUUUCAGGUAAUUAUUGAAAUGAUAUACUCUUUUAACAUUUGCUUAAUUUUUUUUAAAAGUGUAUUAAUACUUUUAUUUUGUAUUAAGAUUUCUUAAAAUAUUUUUAUUUAUCAAGCUAAAUUUGAGAAUUUCGAAUUUAGUAAACUUUAUUCAACUUUA